RNAcentral lists this long non-coding RNA (481 nucleotides) under Rattus norvegicus (Norway rat). RNAcentral describes it as "long non-coding RNA NONRATT030000". The record is from RNAcentral. Lineage: Eukaryota; Metazoa; Chordata; Mammalia; Rodentia; Muridae.
GAGCUGGAGCUGUCCCACAGUUCCCAAAAUGUGCCUGCAGAGAGCUGGUCUGCCAGGAGCCCUCUCACUCCUAAGAUCACAGGCUCACAGGCCCACAGGAGGAACAAGCUCCAGGCAGAGACAGCAAGACCAACAUCAGAGUUAACCAUAUGGUGAGAGAAAGCAGAAUAACCUAAGCAACAGAAACCAAGACUACUUGGUACCAUCAGAACCCAGUAUCCUACCACAGCAAAUACUGGAUGUCCCAACAAACUGAAAAGCAAGAUUUGGAUUUAAAAUCACAUCUCAUGAUGAUGAUAGAGGACUAUAAGAAGGACAUAAAUAACUCCCUUAAAGAAAUACAAAAGAACACAGGUAAACAAGUAGAAGCCCUUAAAGAGAAAAAACAAAAUCUCUUAAAGAAUUACAGGAAAACACAACUGAAAAGGUAAAGAAAUUGAACAAAUCCAUCAAGGAACUAAAAAUGGAACUAGAAAAAAAA